RNAcentral lists this ribosomal RNA (274 nucleotides) under uncultured bacterium. Its description in RNAcentral is "partial 16S ribosomal RNA". It matches the Rfam family "Bacterial small subunit ribosomal RNA", at positions 523 to 796 of the family's 1533-position model. The record is from RNAcentral.
AUACGGAGGGGGUUAGCGUUGUUCGGAAUUACUGGGCGUAAAGCGCACGUAGGCGGAUUGGAAAGUUGGGGGUGAAAUCCCAGGGCUCAACCCCGGAACUGCCUCCAAAACUAACAGUCUAGAGUUCGAGAGAGGUGAGUGGAAUUCCAAGUGUAGAGGUGAAAUUCGUAGAUAUUUGGAGGAACACCAGUGGCGAAGGCGGCUCACUGGCUCGAUACUGACGCUGAGGUGCGAAAGCGUGGGGAGCAAACAGGAUUAGAAACCCUAGUAGUCC